This is a long non-coding RNA of Suricata suricatta (meerkat), 2003 nucleotides long. RefSeq lists it as uncharacterized. The record is from RefSeq and is a predicted model, not a curated record. Lineage: Eukaryota; Metazoa; Chordata; Mammalia; Carnivora; Herpestidae. The transcript has 4 exons.
CCCGCUCGGGUCCCUCGGGUCAGCCCUCUCCUCCCAUCCCCUCCCCUCCCCCGCCUGCGGGAGGCUCGCAGAGGGCUGUGUGCAUGUGUGAGCCUGCACAGCCUCAGCCAGCCCCUUUUGUUCCGUCCUGACCUCUACCUUGCACUGACCCCGGCUGGGGGUGCGGAGCGUCUGCAGACACGGCCGGCGCGGGGAGGGGCUCAAGGUGCACGGCUCGAGGUGGCUCCUCCGUACUCUGCAUCGCCCGCCAGUCCUGCGCCUCCGGUCCCUCCCUCCCUCCCUCUCUCUCUCUCUCUCCUCUCAAGAUCUCCCUUCCAGCUAAGUCUGCGCGGCUGCGGGAGGGCUGGGGGAAGGGCCGGUGCGGAGGGGGGUGCGCGGUGUCUUCUUUCUCUUCGCCUGCCCCCCACCCCCCAAGUGCGGACGCAUCGGGAGCUCCGGCCUCCCCCACCCCUGCAUUCGCGGUCGGCUCCGGGAGGAGGUGGAUGGUGCGGCCGCGGCUGCAGCAUCUCCCUGGGAGCCACGCGGGCGCAUCGUACCAGGAGCCACGACCCUGCGCCCGCGGCCGCUGCCGCCAGCCCGGCCGGAGGGGCUCCGCGGCUCUGCAGAGACACGGCCCGGGCCGGGGGCCGGCAGCGUCCAGACGCCCCUCUCUGGGCCCAUUUGCACAGGACAGGAGGGCUGCCCGGCGUGCAGGGGCGCCCCGGGCCUCAUCUUGCUGAUAGAACUGAGGUGCCUGGCAGCCAGUGGCGCCCUCCUCGGUGUGCUCUGCAGGCCUCACCCACCCUGGCGAUGGCAAGACCUCCCUUCAUGGGUGCCUGACGUCCCUGGGCCCAGGCAGGGGGUGGCGCCCCUUCCCAUGGCGGGGACCUGACCCGGAGGUCACACCACUCUCUGUCAGACUCUGCAGUUCUGACUCCUGGCUUUGGGGCAGCCACAGAAGGUGAUGGGGCUGAGGGGCUCUUCUCCAUGGCGGGGACAUUCUGAAAUGCAGUGAAAACAAUACCGAUACAAUUAAGUGUUCCAAAGUGCUUAGCUUGCCACUUGCUAAGUUUACUUAAACCCUCUUUAACGGGUUCAUUAGAAGCUGGUGAGCACCGGGAAAUUCAUUAACAGGAAGGCGGCCCCUGCGUUUGACUGUAAAUUGGUAUUGAUCUGGCCGGGCUCAGGCCACAGGAGCCAGGCACCCCUGGGCCACAUCGCCGAACUGGUGGCAGCGCUUGGUGGCCCUGGGCCCCCAUGUGAGCUUCCUGCUGGUGCCAGCAUCUUUUCAGGGGCCGUGGCAGAGGGGUGAGAUGCCAGGAGGGGCGAGGGAGAGAGAAGUGAAGAAGGGGGGUAGGGAGCUGAAGAGGGGAGCGGGGGCCGUCUCUAGUCCCCCACAGGGCCAGGCGGGUGCAGAGGGGCUGGCUGAGGCGAGGGCCGCCUCCCAGCAGCUCCCAGAGGCUGCCCUUGCCGCGCAUGUCUUCAAAGACAGAGGCACCGUCCGAGCCCUGCCCUUGAGGGCUCUGCUUCCUGGGAGGCAGAACCACCAGGGACCAGCCCAGCCAGCUGCCAGCCAGCUGCCCAGGUGGAGGGAGCGUGACGGGGACGCCGGAGGGGACCCAGAGCCCAGUGCCUCCUUAUCUCAGAACUCGUCGCUGCUAAUUUGCUCCCGAGCGGCUGCCCUCCCCUGACCUCAGGGCCCUCCGAGCUGGUUCUCCGCCAAGCGGCUUUCGCUCCUGAAAUUAUGCCAGCUUUUACCCCGGCCCUACCUGUGAGAUGGUGAGACACAAAAACCCAUCUUACCGUUUUUUCUUGCAAAGAACCGCAAAACAAUGGUGCCUCCCCCUCCUGCCCCGCCUCCCCCACGGCCUGUCCCCAAGCUCUUUGGGUCUAUUUGAGGCAGAAUUUAUCUCUGGGAGGGGCCCCAUCAGUUCAGCCUGCUCUUCUGUUGACAUGUUUAUUAAAAACCUGGGCGACUCCUAUUAAACUUUUAUCAGUGUUGAGAAAUAAUACAUAUUUUUUGA